UACGGGAGGCAGCAGUGGGGAAUAUUGCACAAUGGGCGAAAGCCUGAUGCAGCUAUGCCGCGUGUAUGAAGAAGGCCUUAGGGUUGUAAAGUACUUUCAUCGGGGAGGAAAAACAAAACUAAUAAUUUUAUUUCUUGACGUUACCCGAAAAAGAAGCACCGGCUAACUCCGUGCCAGCAGCCGCGGUAAUACGGAGGGUGCUAGCGUUAAUCAGAAUUACUGGGCGUAAAGAGCGCGUAGGUGGUUUUUUAAGUCAGAUGUGAAAUCCCUGGGCUUAACCUAGGAACUGCAUUUUGAAACUGAAAUACUAGAGUAUCGUAGAGGGAGGUAGAAUUCUAGGUGUAGCGGUGAAAUGCGUAGAUAUCUGGAGGAAUACCUGUGGCGAAAGCGGCCUCCUAAACGAAUACUGACACUGAGGUGCGAAAGCGUGGGGAGCAAACAGGGAUUAGAUACCCGU
RNAcentral lists this ribosomal RNA (457 nucleotides) under uncultured bacterium. Its description in RNAcentral is "bacterial SSU rRNA". It matches the Rfam family "Bacterial small subunit ribosomal RNA", at positions 340 to 789 of the family's 1533-position model. The record is from RNAcentral.